This 492-nucleotide ribosomal RNA is filed under the name uncultured bacterium. RNAcentral describes it as "partial 16S ribosomal RNA". It matches the Rfam family "Bacterial small subunit ribosomal RNA", at positions 29 to 507 of the family's 1533-position model. The record is from RNAcentral.
AGUGAACGCUGGCGGUAGGCCUAACACAUGCAAGUCGAACGGCAGCACAGUAAGAGCUUGCUCUUACGGGUGGCGAGUGGCGGACGGGUGAGGAAUACAUCGGAAUCUACUUUUUCGUGGGGGAUAACGUAGGGAAACUUACGCUAAUACCGCAUACGACCUACGGGUGAAAGCAGGGGAUCUUCGGACCUUGCGCGAUUGAAUGAGCCGAUGUCGGAUUAGCUAGUUGGCGGGGUAAAGGCCAACCAAGGCGACGAUCCGUAGCUGGUCUGAGAGGAGGGUCGGCCACACUGGAACGGAGACACGGUCCAGACUCCUACGGGAGGCAGCAGUGGGGAAUAUUGGACAAUGGGCGCAAGCCUGAUCCAGCCAUACCGCGUGGGUGAAGAAGGCCUUCGGGUUGUAAAGCCCUUUUGUUGGGAAAGAAAAGCAGCAGGUUAAUACCCCGCUGUUCUGACGGUACCCAAAGAAUAAGCACCGGCUAACUUCGUG